RNAcentral lists this ribosomal RNA (484 nucleotides) under uncultured bacterium. RNAcentral describes it as "partial 16S ribosomal RNA". It matches the Rfam family "Bacterial small subunit ribosomal RNA", at positions 28 to 507 of the family's 1533-position model. The record is from RNAcentral.
AUUGAACGCUGGCGGCAUGCUUUACACAUGCAAGUCGAACGGCAGCGCGGGCUUCGGCCUGGCGGCGAGUGGCGAACGGGUGAGUAAUGCAUCGGAACGUGCCCAGUAGUGGGGGAUAGCCCGGCGAAAGCCGGAUUAAUACCGCAUACGACCUGAGGGUGAAAGCGGGGGACCGAAAGGCCUCGCGCUAUUGGAUCGGCCGAUGUCGGAUUAGCUAGUUGGUGGGGUAAAGGCUUACCAAGGCGACGAUCCGUAGCUGGUCUGAGAGGACGACCAGCCACACUGGGACUGAGACACGGCCCAGUCUCCUACGGGAGGCAGCAGUGGGGAAUUUUGGACAAUGGGGGCAACCCUGAUCCAGCCAUGCCGCGUGCGGGAAGAAGGCCUUCGGGUUGUAAACCGCUUUUGUUCGGGAAGAAAUCCUCUGGGCUAAUACCCCGGGGGGAUGACGGUACCGGAAGAAUAAGCACCGGCUAACUACGUG